This is a non-coding RNA of Podarcis muralis (Common wall lizard), 377 nucleotides long. The record is from RefSeq and is a predicted model, not a curated record. NCBI's taxonomy places the organism in Eukaryota, Metazoa, Chordata, Lepidosauria, Squamata, Lacertidae.
GGAUCCUAACUGGUGCACAUGAUGACUUAAAACUUUUUUCCCCAUCAGAGCGUCAGUGUUGAUCUCUUUGCUGUUACAGCCAGAAUCUGUCUGAUGCACCAGUGUUUUAACAGCGAGAGGGGAGGGCGGUUGAGAGUCUCUUGAGCCCAAUUCAUGCAGUUUGCAAGAGCAAAUCUCUCUCGGUUAAUCUGACUGUGGUGGGUGUCUUUCCGUUUAGGGCGACGAUGCCGCUAGGCAUGUACAGAGCGAACUGCUGCAAAAAACGAGCUGGGCGCAAGGAGGCGAUGGAGUCACCUGAAACCCGCACACGAUCUGAAUACACGUGAUCGGAGUGAGCCUGAAGUUGUAAUCAUUGAGGUGGGCCCAUGCAGAAAAGA